Molecule: ribosomal RNA, 407 nt
Filed under: uncultured bacterium
Lineage: Bacteria
Description: partial 16S ribosomal RNA
Rfam family: Bacterial small subunit ribosomal RNA
Source: RNAcentral
GACGAACGCUGGCGGCGUGCCUAAUACAUGCAAGUAGGACGCAGUUGCGAACGGGUGAGUAACGCGUCGGUAACUGCCUAUUAGUGGGGGCUAACUAUUGGAAACGAUAGCUAAUACCGCCUACUAGUAGAUGGACCUGCGUUGUAUUAGCUCGUAGGUAGGGUAAUGGCCUACCUAGGCGAAGUUACCUAGCCGGCCUGGGAAGGUUGACGGCCACAAUGGGAAUUGGACACGGCUCAGACUCCUACGGGAGGGAGCAGUAGGGAAACUUCGGCAAAUGGGGGAACCCUGACCGAGCAACUGCGCGGGGGUGAAGAAGGGUUUCGGAGUGUUAAGCUCUGUUGUUAAGGAAGCGGUACUUAACCAGAAAGGGACGGCUAACUACGUGCCAGCCGCCGCGGUAAUAC